UAGAAGGGGAUGGAACGCGGCGGGGAGCGGAGGGACGAGGACAAUGCGAACGCUCACGGCGCGCAGCACGUGCCUGAGAGCCCCCAGCAGCUUGAUUCUGGGGGUUGGGACUCGCGGCCCACGGGGAGAGGGUGUUCUUCUUAACUUUCUUGAGGUUCUCUUUGUUGAUGACACCCGGGCCUCGGUCGGGGGCAGUAACCCCGAGGGAGGGGUCCUGAGAAUGAAUCGUAGCCCAGCGCUUGGCCUUGAACAGGAUAUUAGUGGAAAUAUUGCUGUGGUUGUCAGGAAACGCGAGUGCAGCCGCACAGCUACUGCCAGUUAUGCAGCGAGGAUAUCCGGUGGCUGCGAGGUCUGUAAUUUAGAAUAAGAAGCUCUCCCAACACCCGAGAGGCUGACCUCAGCGCCGCGUGGCGGUAAUGCGCUCAGCGCCCUCUGUGGAGACUGUCCAAGUCGUGACAGGUGGGAAAGCUUCAUGGUAGGUUAGACCUUAAAGAACCCUGCAGAAGUACCUGCGGAAUCAGACUGCAAAAGUGAGCUAGCCACUUACUAAACGUAGCUGAAGUAGAGGGUAAGAUCGCCAGCCCGUUUCCACCAUUAAUAAGUAGUGUUUUCCAGGGCAGCCUGCUACUUCCACUUUGAGGUCUUUACAAAGUGGGUAAUUGACCGUUGUUCACCAAGCCAGAAGCAUGUAUCUGCAGUGCCAUGAGGCAGGAGGAUGAUCCAGGAUCACACAGCUGUCUUCUUAGAUAAAUCUGACCCACUCAGCCCUCUCUGGAGGUAUGUUUCAUGCUGACUCAUGAGCAACAGGAAGGUAUGACCCAUUAAGCAGCUUCCAUGUUUUGAAGUAAAAUUGCUCUCCUCAGAUAACACCUAUGUAUUUGUGCUGUUACUGCUAUCCCCUUGUCAGUGAUAAAACCACAGACUGUUAGAGCUGAGAAAUUGAGGAAAAUCUUUAUUCUUUUUAUUUAACAUGUUGUUGUUGUUGUUGUUGUUGUUGUUGUUGUUAAAUCUACAUCAUUAGCUAACAAUAAAAAGCAAAAACACAUUAGUAAAAAGCUCACCCUCAACUCUCCUAGUGGCCCAGGCCUAUGAUCUCUGGUUUCUAGAACUGCUGAGGUGAGGGAGGAGGCUAGAGAGCUCUCAAGGCCAUCCUGUGGGCCACAGAGUUCAUACAAAGACCACUUAGGCAACGUAUGGGACUUUGCCUCAGAAUUAAAAAGGAGAAGGAGGCUAAGGAUGUAGCUCAGGAGUGUGGCCUUGCCCCAUUCACAAGACCUUGGCUUUAAUCCUCAGCACCACAAAACCGCAAUGACAAUAUCAGUUCUUAUUUUAAAAUAUCUGUGAUGUUAACAGUGCUUUUUAACUCUUUUUUUUUUGAGUUCAGAUGAUAAGUUUCUAUACACAAAUUAUAUCUCUACAUAAAAUUGACUCAAGUGGUAAACCCAGCAGCCGUAAUCUAGACAAGAUUUAGGCAUGCUAAAUCACAGGAAGUACUGUGAAGAUGAGAUAAGGCCUGCUAAACAUCUGACAUUAGGUGCUCAAUAAAUGCUAGACAUCAUAGUGCAGUUUAUUCCCAUUGUGGAGGUGUGGCGACCUAAAAAGUAUUAAGUUUGAUAGUAAUGCUUCAAAUGCACGAAUUACCUAUUUAUUAACAUAGCAUUUAUCAAACAUUGGAAUAAUUCCUAUACGUGUAGCAGCCUUCUGCUGGCCCAUCCAUCAGUUUUAGGCCUUACCCCAAUGAAACAAGACCAAGAGUUUCACUAAGCUAAGGAAUCUAAGCUUCAGCUCUGACUGGAAGGAACUUCCCACAAGCAGAGUAGAAAUCUAUAUUCUUGAGAUGCAAACUGCUGCCUUGACUCGAAGGCACUCUUUUUGCUACAGCAUGCUUUAGAAUUAUUUUUACACUUAUUUAUUGUGAGUGUAAGUGUGGAAGUUAAAGGAUAACCCAUGGAGUCAUUCUUUCCACCGUGUGGGUUCCAGGACUUGAACUGUGGGUCAUCAUGGUUAGAAGUAAUGGCCCUUACUUCUGAGCUACCUUGUUAGCCACGUGCUAUAACUUCAUCCCAUCUUACCUCCGGAAGCCGCCAGUGUCUACAGUUAUUAAGAAUUCUCUGCCCUGAAAGAAGACCCUCGCCGCAUGCAACUAGGUGUAUUAGAUUUCCCGGGUUCGGAAUUGUUAGGAAUCCAUCUUUCCUUAUAAAUUACCCAGUCUGUAGUAUCCCAUGAUGGCAAUGUUAAACGAGCAAAGACAUGAAGCAUUUUCUUGGCACCCUCUUCCUCCCAUGUCCAGCCUUUAAAACAAGUCUCAGGCUGUAGCCCUCUAUACCCUUCAGAUCCUCUCUGAAUGGACUCAGGUAGCUCUGUGUUACUUCAUCUUUAAGGCUAUGAGUCUCAGAUCAUUAGUGCAUCUGGAAGUUCCACUCUUUUUUUUUUUUUUUUUUUUGGUUCUUUUUUUUCCGGAGCUGGGGACCGAACCCAGGGCCUUGCGCUUCCUAGGCAAGCGCUCUACCACUGAGCUAAAUCCCCAACCCCUGGAAGUUCCACUCUUAACGCAACUGCCUGCGUGUCAUUAAUAGCUCACUGUAUUAUAAGCAUCUCAAGCAUGACAUAUCUCAAAUUCUUAAUUCCAUCUAUCCAAACUUCAUUGUUUCCGAGUCUUAAGUUCAAGUGUUGGUGCCACCGUUUCCCUAGUUCCUUGAGCCAAAAGCCAGGAGUCAUAUUUACUUCUUCUUCCUUUUAUUUCCUUUAGAUUUAUCAAAAAGAUCAUAAUGUGUCCACUUCCAGAUUUUUUCGCAUAGCUUGCCUUUCUACCAUCAUCCAUGUUACCACAGCGCCUGUGUGUGUCUCUCACACAGGUGCCUGUGUGGCCUUGUACUGGCCUCUCUGCUUCCAUGCUCCUUACAUCACAAUUGUGCCGGAUCCAGAAUGGCCAUUUAAAAAUAGAGCCCCAGUUGUACAUGAAGCUCCCCAGUAGUUUUCUGUAGUAGAAACAGAAUUCAUAUUCAGGUAAAACUGUCCAGUAAGAACUAUGAGAGAUCCACCCAUGCCCGCCUUCCACUUAGCCUGACCUCUCCAAUGACCAGUGCUCUUCUGCCUAGUGGCCUUCAUGUUCUCAAGCCCACCAGAGCUAAACCCUUUGAGCCUUUGCACUUUCUUCUUUUAAAUUUCUUUUAUUAUAUCUUUGUAUCUUAUUUUAUGCCUGGCUGUCCUGGAACUGGCUGUUUGGACAAGCCUGGCCUCAAACUCACAAAGGUCCAGGAGCCACUUCUCUCUCCAUCACGUGGAAGGCUGGGGGACAUUCACAGGUCAUCCGGCUUGGAAGCAAGUGCCUUUACCUGAGGAGUCAUCUCAGCAGCCCUCACUCUGUUUUCUCUGCAGAAAUCCCUAUGUCCUGAUUGUCACACUGGACUCUUGUGACCCAUCACUCAGGUAGUGCUGCUGUGUUUGCUUGUGCACUGAGUGGCCAAGGCAGAGAGGCUGGAGUUAACCAUGCUAAGCCAUCAUUCAAGGAUGCCUGAAGCAAAGAGAGCAUCUCAUUCUACAGACUGACUGACUAAAGGCCAAACCAUGUGGCCAGGAACUAUGUCCUGAAAGAGAGGUUCCCCUUUCUAACCUGUCAUGGGAAACUCAUGGUACCUACAUGACUAUAUACUUCCUAAGAACCGGUUGGAUCUAGUGCAACCUUUAUUUUAUUUAGAAACUAAGGUUAGGAGGUGAAACAGCUAACCCUUGUUGAAACUCUACCUCCUCUCAUCAUCUGGUCUCUUGACAAGAAUAUGUUAGAAAUAACUUUUAAUUCUACUUGAUAUAAGAUAUUUGUAGUAAAUUUUUAAAAAGCUCUAUAAAGAACCAACUAUAGUUGUAAAGCUUAUGGAAUGAGCUGCAACUAACUAUGAAUUGGCCUACCCACAUGCCAUUGCAGUGAUAAAUAAGUGAUAAGUAAUGCCUUCAUAAAGGCAAUAUGAAACUCUGUAAAAUCUGUCAUAUAUUUCUUUUGAGUCUCCAUACAUCUAAGCAUACAGACCUUGUCCUUCUAUGGACCUGUCUUAGGGUUUUACUGCCAUGAACAGACACCGUGACCAGUGCAAGUCUUAUAAAGGACAGCAUUUAAUUGGGGCUGGCUUACAGAUUCAGAGGUUCAGUCCAUCAUCAUCAAAGUGGGAGCAUAGCAGCAUCCAGGCAGGCAUGGUGCAGGAGGAGCUGAAUUCUACAUCUUAAGCUGAAGGCUGCUAGGAGAAUAUCAGGCAACUAGAAUGAGGGUCUUAAAGCCCACGCCCACAGAGACACACCUACUCCAACAGGGCCACACCUAACAGUGCCACUCCCUGGACUGGGCAUAUACACAAACCAUAACAGGAUCUCUGUGCAUGCUGGCUCAUGGCCUACCGAGACAGUUACCCAUAUAAACCUCUAAGGUGAAAAACAUAUUAACUUAAUGAGUCUCACUUUGUGAUUGGAAUUGUCAGCUUGGGGAAUCAAAAUGUAUAGAUCCCGUCCUUGCUUGUUUUUUCUCCCUCAUUGUUGGAAAUAAUAAACUAUCCAAGAGGAGCAAAAGGACUGAGUCAGUGUCUUGAUAACAUGGUCUCGGGAAACCAUUACUUAAGAUCCUACAUAAACAACAGUGUAAUACCUAGCCCUACUGGGAAGCAGAAAUGCUACCUACUUUUUCAACUCUGUCACCAUUUACAUCGUAAAGCCAUUGUUCUCAGUCUUCCUAAUGCUCCAACCCUUUAAUCCAGUUCCUCAUGUUGGCGACCCCCAAUCAUAAAAUUAAUUUAUUGCUACUUGGCACUGUAAUUUUUGCUGCUGGUAUAAAUCAUAAUGUAAAUAUCCGAUAUGCAGGAUAUCUGAUAUGUGACCCCCAAAGGAGUCGCAAUCCACUGUGGAAACUCAGCCGCUGCUUUGAGAAAUGGUGUUAGAAAUGCUCAUGUAGCAUUCAUGAUGUACCAGGCCCCGCCCUAAACACUGGCAUGUCAGUCAUUCCAUCCCUCCGGUAACCCCAUCGAAUAUAGGUGCUACUGUUCCUACUGUUUCAAACAUGGAGAAAUAGAGACACAGUGUCUUAGUCCAUUAAGACUUCCGUAUCAAAACACUCUAGACUGGGUGGCUUGAAAAUGACACCGACUGGUUCCCCACGAUUUUAGGAGAAGUCAUCUGAGGUUAACAUAGAUCCAGUAUCUGGUGAAGGUCCAACUCCUAAUUCUAUCUAUUCAAUAUGUCUUCUCAUCACAGAAGUAGCAAGAAGUUCUCCGAGGUCUUUUUACAAGGCACCAAUCCCACUCGUGAGGGUUCCACCUUUGUGCUAGUGACUUCUCACCCCUCCGACAGGAUGUCCGAGAGAAACCACCUGAGGUCAGGCUCCAUCUCCUAAAAGUUCUGUAAUCUCCCCAACUGCAGCACCAGCUGAGACCAACACAGGAACUAGCAGGGGCAUUUCAUCUUCAAAUCAUAACAACCCUCAUGGCCUGACCACUUGUCAAACGUGCCACCUCCUAAUACUACCACAGGUGAACCAGAGGGGAUGCUAACAUUUGGCUCACAGCACGCAGAGAAGCAAGGUGUAAUUGCUCAGUCAUAAAUCAGUGAAAGCAAAACUAGAAUUCAAAACGAGUUCUUAAUCUAUACUUUAGGACACUGGGACAGUGCUUCUUAACAUCCUCAAGUGAACAGGUAGUUGAACUCAUGCUGACCACUGCUGUAACAGUGACCAUUUGAACAUACGCAAGCAGAUGGAACUGAGUGUAUAGCUAAGUGGUUGAGCACUCGCCCUGACAUCCCCAAGGCUCUGGGUUCAAACCUAAGAACAUCAAAAAGCAUGAAAUUGGAAAUACUGAGCAAAAGUCACAAUAGGACCAGAAAUGUGAACACCUUUUAACAAAAUGUCAAAACCACAGAGCCCCUGUCUGGUUAUUGAAUGUUCCAUGAUUCCAGAAUUAACAGUAUACUGAGCAACAGAGAUGCGGGGAGGGAGGGUCUUUCCAUUUAACUCAGGAAACCAUGUAGUACUGUGUGAGUUAAGUCCUAGAACUCAGCUGUUGCACGACCUCCCCAAACUUCACUUUAAGCUAAACGGCUGACAGAUCCACCUGAAUAACCUCUCUGCCAUAGGCUUUACAGCCUAUCAGAUGCUUCCCCUCCAUGGCCUCUUAAAAACAGUCAUAAAAUGGUAAGUCCUCUAAGUCCUUUCCAUCUCUAGCUUUGAGUGGUUUUCUGCCCUAACCUGAGAGCUUGAAAAGCAGAAACCUGAACUUUUAAAAUUCAUCAAUUUUUACUGCUCCAGAAUUUACCAUGUAGAGCAGCUUCACAGCUUCCUGGAUUGGCGUGCCUUCAAAUUACAGUCAUGUUAGGCUUGGCACAUAAAGUUCAAAUAACAGCCUGCUGGCUCAGCACUCGGGGCCACAUAUUUUGAAGAAGGAAUGAUAGAGGGCCUUCGCCCUCCAGAUACCUGGCCAGCCCAUCUAGCAUCACUUUGGCAAAGUUAAAGUAUAUAUAAAGCGGGGGGGGGGGGGGGGGCGAGAAUAGGACAAGGCCUGAGCAUCUAGAUGGACGCUGCAGGAGAGGAAUGAUGGCUCAGAAAAGGCUGUCACCAAGUCAACUUCAAGGACAGGCCUGCAGAAACUAUGGCCUUCACAGACACCCUGCCUCAGUUCUUCUACUUGACCCAGGUUUAAGUCAGAGGCCCCUUCACCAGGAUAAGGCUCUCUUACUCUGCCUCCAAAGGCCAAUAGACAACUGCCCGCUGACUGAGAAAGGAGCACCCUGGGUAAAGUAAGAGCUCAUCUGCCCAUCUUCCUAGGAUCAGUGUCUUGUUCAGAGCUAACAAGAGCAGGAAGAACCAGGCACAGUGGUGCAUGCCUAUAGUUCUAGCUACGGCAGGCGGGAAAGAUCACUUCAGCCCAGAGGUUUGAGACCAAUCUAGGCAUCAGGGCAGCUGAUGCCUUCUCUACAUAAACAAACAAAGGUGAAAAGCAAGCUGGGCAUGUAGUAUAUUCCUACAUAAAACAAAACAGCAAAUGCCCUGCUAAUGAAAGAACCAAACAUUCACCUAGGCAGACAUCAAGAGAACCUCCCUCUGAGCUAGGAUUCAAACACAGGUCCUAGCCCCUGACUCCGCUAAUAUGCCAGAGCAGUUUGCUACAACAACAGGUUAAAUUCAGUGUGCUCUCUCUCUCUCUCUCUCUCUCUCUCUCUCUCUCUCUCUCUCUCUCUCUCUCUCCCCCCCUCCCUCCCUCCCUCCCUUCCUCACUCUCUCCCUCUCCCCGUCUCUCUCCUUACCUGUCUACUGUCUCUGUCUCUCUCUAUCUCUGUGUGUGCACGCCUGUAUGUGUAUGUAUGUGUGUAGAAAUAAAAGUACGCCCUUAUGGAUGUGAUAGAUUUGCCCAUUCACUUACUGAGAAGGACACCCUCACAGAGGACAGAAUAUGACCUCUGAGUCCACACCCUUUGAGACACAUGCCCCUCAAUACCUCAUCAGAAUAGGUUAGUGAGGGCCUUCACCUAAGCAGAAAACUAAUUCCUUGUGACUCAGUCCUCACAGCGUGUCUGGCCAUUGCUGAUGUGGGGGAGAAACAGUUCUUUCAGCUUAGGAAGAACACUGACUGCAGCCAAACAAGACAUGCAGAGACAUAACCUGAGGCAACUCCACCGCCAACAGUAGCGUGGAGGGAACAGUAGGAAGCAUCACUAACUGGAGCCCAGCUCUUAAGAGAGUCCUUGAGACAGUGGGUUGGAGCCAAGGAGUAGAAUCACAAACAGCUGGAGUGGGAACCUCAGCCCAGGGCUGCUGGGCUGCUGCAGGGGGGCUGUGAGGGAAGGCAGCACACAGCUGCAUUCCUGAGACAUUUGCAUUUCCAGAAAGCAGUAGGAAAUACAGGAGAAAAAACACUGUAGGGCUCAGGGAACUUUGGUUCCCAUUCUCACUGGCUACAUGCCUCCUGCUCCUCCCCAGGGCCCUCAUUCUGUGUGAGCACUUUAAGCUGGAAAUGGUGUGCUGGGGCUGAGACCUGAAUAAGGAACAUUGGCAAUUAUCAGUGGAUGAGGAAAUGUGUAUGCAGACCACGGCAGUAACAAUGCUACCAAAUAGCAAUGAAACGUCUGCCCGCCCUCCUUCCAAGUGGAACUAUAUAUUACUAUAUAUUAAAGUUAUCCGAGGACUGAAUUCUUUUUAAAGAUUUACCUCUGUGUGUGUGUGUGUGUGUGUGUGUGUGUGUGUGUGUGUGUGUGAGAGAGAGAGAGAGAGACAGAGAGACAGAGAGAGAGAGACAGAGAGGGGCAGACAGAAAGAGUGUGUGUGUGCGUGUGAGAGACAGAGACAGAGACAUAGACAGAGACACAGAGAAACGGAGAGAGACAGAGUGUGUGUGUGUGUGUGUGUGUGUGUGUGUGUGUGUGUGUGUGUGUGAGAGAGAGAGAGAGAGAGAGAGAGAGAGGCAAACAGACAGAGAGAAAGAGUGUGUGUGUGUUGGCAGGUGUACACACGGAGACCACAGGACAGUUUUUGGGGAGUCAGUUCUUCCCAUUAUUAUUAUUGUUGUUUUAAUAUUGUUAUUCCUUCAUUAUUAUUAAUUACUAUUAUUAUUUUGAGGCAAAGUCUUUUGUGAUGUCUCUGUGCCGAUUGGCCAGCUUCAGGGUGAAUCUCCUGUCUCCAUCACAGAGUGCUGGGUUCACAGAUAUGUGCUACCCAAGUCCAGCUUUUUAUGUAGGUUCUAAAACUGAAACUCGGGCCAUGGCAUGUACUUUUACCCACUGACCCAUGUUCCCAGCCCCUUGAAUAGUUUUUUAUUGAUACAGUGCCUGACUUAUAAAUGCAAAUCAGGACAGCUGUGGUAGCAUUUUGUUUUAUUUUGUUUUACCUUGUUUUGAUGCUGGGAACUGAAGCCCAGGGCCUAACACAUACCAACUGUCUGUCUAGCUCCAGCCUCUGCAUUGUUAUAAGUUCAUAUAAGUUAUAUAUACGUUCAUAGCACCAGAAACAAGGUGAAUUAUUGUAAAAUUUAGUAUUGGGAAGGAUUUGAAGAACUCCACUCCUACAAUACCUAUGACAUUUUGAGACAAUCCCCUUCCUUGAAGAAAAACUGAAUAAGGGAUUAGAGCCCUAAAAAUGACCAUACCCUUGACAUAGUGGUAGUUACUAAAGUUUAGAGUAAACAAUUUAAAUAUAUUCUGCAAGUGAUUUAUGCCAAUGUUAUUUAUAAGAGCUCAAACAGGAAGAAGGUCAGGUAAAGCCCCUGAGCAGAGAAAACAAAGAACAUUUGGACAGCCUCAGGGAGAAAGUAUUCAAUGACGGAUACAUGGUGCACAUGAGUAUACCUUUUAAUACUGUAAACAGGAAGACGUAGGAGGAAGUGCUAAUGAAAGGAACUUCCAACUGGAAAAGCACAAAGGGGGAAGAGGCCUGACUUUGGACAGAAGGAGAUGGGGCUCCAUCUGGGAGGAUGACUGGCAGGAUCAACAUAGGUGAGGGUGUUUGUUUAAACACAAACUACUACUCAAAAACUUACAGAAGCCUAAGCAUGUCUGCACUCCUAUCCCUACCAAAUUAUGUAAGGAUUUUCAUGUGCAGGAGGCACAGUGAGAUACCUCAAGGUAAAGGCACUCGCUGCCAAGCCUGAGGGCCUGAGUUCAAAUCCUAGGACUCACGAAGUACAAGAACUGACCUCAGCACGUUUUUCUCUGACUUCCACAGGUGUGCUUCCUUCCAUGGGUGGCAUUCGUGUACACACAACCAUGUGCAUGCAUGUACACACACACACUCACAGCAUAUCAUUUUCCCCCUUUUGCAAAGGGAUAGAUCUUGCAUGCUUGCAGGAGAUAAAGUGGAAGGCAGGGAGCGAGAGACUUAAGUGGAGGAGGAGCGUAACUGGAUUUCUUUGCUCUUCUAGAUCAAGACAAUCCAGACAUCUCUAAUAACAGGAAACUGGUACACUGGCAGUUUACAAGGAGCAGGUUCUGGACAGGGAAUGGUUAGAAUGGUCCUAGUUGUCCAGGGGAAUUAAUGUAAUAAAGUCAAGUCUCUGGAAAAAAUUUUUAAAUUGGAUAUGUGUAGCCACCCCUCAAGAAAAAGCCCAUGUGUUAUCCGUAGGGGAAUAGGCAGGUAGGUCUGAUAGAGUAAAAUAUGUAGAAGUACUUUGCUGAGAAGAAAAUGCUUUCUAAUGCUUGCUCUUAAGAUGAUGACGGUGUUAUGGUUACCAAUACCCCCACCCCCUCAAAGGCUCAUAUGUGCAAAGCAUGGUCCCCAGUGAAGCACUGUCCAGAGGGGAGGCUCUGGGGAAAUAAUUGGAUCAUGAUGGCUCUGAGAGUUCGUUGAUGGGUUCAUAAUUGGAUAGACUGUGGUAGGAACUCGGGAGAUGGGAUCUAGUUGAAAGGAUUAGGUCCUUGGGGACCAUAGGCUGUCUUCAGUCCCUAAUUCUGGGUUUCAUUCUGGGUUUCUGCUUUCCAGGAAACCCUGAGGCCAUGAGCUCCGGUCUGCCACACAAUCUCUUCCUCAUGUGCUACCUCCUGACAAACAAGAGCUCAGGGUCAGUGGAUUUAAACCCCAAAAACAUCCACCAAAACAAUUAUAUCUUUCUUUAGGUCAUUUUUCACAGACAUGUUGUCACAGCACGAAAAGGUGACGAACACACUAUAGUGUCACUACAUGAGACUGCAAAGUUAGCCAUGGUGUUCUUAGACAAUAUACUCAAAUUGAGAGAGACCAGGUCUUUUGGGUUCAGACUCCAUUUUGGAGAACAUGACCUAAGGUUGAACUCAAGUUAAUUAACAGGUCAGCGGUACCUAGUGCCAGUUUCCAGAUUACCCCCCAACAAGACCUGUGACUUGCACCAGUUUCCAGGUUACCCCCAACAAAUCUGCACCUCCAGGUUACAAGCCUGCCCCUGGCACUUCACUUCCUAACAACCACCAAUCAGGAGGAAAGCAGAAGUUAAGUUUAUGGUUUGGCUCCCAGCAGCAGCCAAUUAUGAUAAAGGCCAUAAUGGCCUCUCAAUCAUGUGUGUACCAGGCUAGAUACCUACUUCUAGCCUCUAUAAAUGCUUGCUUGAAGCUGGGCUUGCUCCUCCUCAUUCUCCUGCGUCAGAGACAGUGGUGUGGCCCAAGCACUACCUUAAAUAAAGAGACCCCAAUGCGAUUGCAUUGGAAUCGACCCCUUGGCGGUCCUUUUGGGGUUCACAAAUGUUUCUUGGCACAACAAAAUCAAGAGAUGGUUUUAUACUUUUUUUUGAGACAGGUUCUCAUGUACCCCAGACUUUUUCCAAACUCAUUAUGUAGCCAAGGAUAGCCUUACUCUCCUGAUUUUCUGUCUUCACCUUCUAAGCUACACCUGGUUCGUGUGGUGCAAGGAUCAAGCCCAGGACCUUGAACAUGUUAGGCAAGCCUUCUUCCUUUCAGUACCACGGACCAAGCACUUUGCCACUGUGCAUUAGCCCAUCCCUUCUCUCUUCAUUUUUUGAGACUGAGUUUGUGAUGUUGCCCAUGCUGACCUCAGAUUCCUAGGCCCAAGUAAUCUUGCCUCAGCCCAAGCCUGGCUCAUUUCACAAAUUCUUAUACUUCUAAACUUAAAAAAAUCAACAAUAAGAUAAUCUUUCCUCUAAUUAAAGCUGUACCAAGUUUCUUGACCAUUUACUUAAUCAGAUUCUUUUUGGCAAAAUUUUGGUGAUACUUAAUUCAGACAUACUUUUCAGUCAGGUUGUCAAUUAGUAAAAUGUUCUAAAAACACCAAGUCAAUUAUGAUUUGUGCAAUGAUUUUAUAGUCUGAAUAUUUAAAAUCAUAUGGCCACUAACACUCAUUCACUCAGUGUACACACACAGACACACACACACACACACACAGACACACACACACACACACACACACUGGUAAAGUAAAAGCAAUAAGACAUUCUUUACAAGGGUCCAGAACAUGAAGGUUUUAGGACUUAAAUAACUUUUUCUGAUCAUUUCAAUGCGCAAAUCCCAUCUUUCGAAGAACAGCAUUUCGUCUUUUGGCUGAGCCUUGCCAUUUGGUUGCACAAAGGCUUCUAAAUGACUCCUGCUGCAUGCAUGCUCUUACACGCACAUACACGUUACUCGAGUGUUUAGCUUCUAGAGCCAAGAGUCAGCUUCUACUUCGUGCCUCGGGCGUAUCAGGUUUCAACUUACACUGUCUGAGUUUUGUACACAUACUUCUGUACCGUAUUAAAGCCGACGCUUUCCACUGAGUUUCUUCUCCCCACCACCGAGUCUCAGAUGCGUUCUCCAGCUGUUGUUAAACACCACUGCAGCACUAGGCGCAGAUGUCAAUGUGCAUAGAACUGUAUUUCUAGUUCCCAAAAAGUAGCAUCUCUACCAAAUACCAGGAGAUCUGUUCAGUGGAGGUGGUUUUUGUCUUUAUCUUUUUUGAUGACCUCAAUUUAUGGCAUUUGUCCUGGGCCUAUGUUUUGUGUUGCGUUUACAAAGGCACACGUACACACUGAGCCUAGUGUUUUUAGCCACUUCUCCAGCUUCAAGUUUGCAAGACUUUGUGCUAAUGGGGAGACAGACAGAGUUACAGCUCCGAACAUUCCCUGCCCCUGAUCCAGAACAUGUGUUAUCAUCUCACACACUGUAAAUUGAUUCCAAAUCCCUGCCAACAGGGCAUAGGCUGCAUUCCAAACAGCCAACGCUCUGGGACAGUGAAUAGUAAAAUAGAAAUGGAGCGUGCCUUCCCUUUAUUCAUGAGGAAGUCUGAGUAUGUUCAGCCUACAUCCCAUUUUCUUAUGGUUUUCCCCAGCAAAUACCUUGGAAGAUAAGGGACUAGCUUAAAAACCAGUCCUUCCCUAACGUCUAAUGGCUGCUGCCUGUUCCAAGCUCUUGGUGAAGGAUGGUUAUCAAGAAACAGGGCGGGAUGCAGGGACCAUUUAAAAUAAUAAAGGGACUCUCAAUCAACUGGUGAGAGACAUAAACAGUCUGACCCUGCUCUCCCAGGAGUAGAAGUCUAGGGUUUUGAAAGCAGUGUAAACAGUUGCAAAGUCUCUGCCAUUACCUACAAACGAACUCCUAGCACAGAUGACAGAUAAAACAGGCAAGUGUUCUCAAGUUCCGGACCGGUCCAGAUUCUCAACCUGAGUUUACAGUUAGUUGAUCCCUGGCUAAGUCUGUACAUCAACAAACAUGGGAAAACUUGACUUCCGUUUUUGCGACCACUGAGGCCUGUAAAUGGAAAAAGAAAAAGGUCAUUAAUUAGUCUCUGGCCCUGGGAAUGUCUUGGAGAUAACAAGGAAGGUGACCAAGUCUCUUCUAAAGUCCCCAGCCUCACAAGUGUCUGAGCAGCCCUGACUUGGCUACUGUGAUUACCCUUCUGCAUCCCAACCAACAGUCACCUGACAAAGUCUACACUGUCUCUUUGUGUGUUGAACAUUUAGCCUCUUCAUUUAAAAAAUUAAUUAACAUUGUAAAUAUUCAAAAAGAAUUUUGAAUACUAUUUAUUGUAUACAACAUGUUACAAAAUAUGUAGACAUUAUGCAAUGGCUACAUUGAUCUAAUUAACAUAGUCCCAUGCUUGUUUCUUAUGGUUAGAAGAUUUUAAGACCUACCCUUGGAAUUUCUUAAGAAUAUAUUUGAGGCACUUGAUCCAACACUUCCUCAUUAGAUCCUACAAAACAGACGCAUAUAUACAUGUGGAGCUAGGGUGGUAAUUAAUAAUUCUCAAUGCUAAUGCCAGAGGGUGAAUUGCCAAAGCUUUAUAGAAAUAUUUUCAAAUUAAAUCUCAUUCCAUAUGUAAGAGAGCUCAAGAGACUGUGGCUUGGUCUUGUUUGCCCCCACUUUAUUAGCUAGGGACAGCUAGUAAAUAUAUAUAAACUAGCUGGCUGCACCCUGGCCCAAACCAUUUUGAAGUGGAUCAUUGAUCCCCUGGCCUUCAGGAGGCCUGACAACCAGCACUAACUCACAAUCCACCAACAGAGUGACAGACCCCAAGCCUCAAGGUACUUACCCACAAAAUGGAAAGUUAGGAUUUUAAUGUCUGUUUCUACACAGAUUGCUUUGAUUUUUGCUAAUUUCAAUCCUUUAGGGAAUGAAAAAAAUUAUCAGAAAAUGAAAAUAUAUACACAUAUAUAUUGUAUAUAUAUGGUCAUAAGCAACCUUAUGUAGUUUUUAAAAGGUGUCAUAUCAAAGUCAGGGAGGCAAUACAUAAGAUUAUAAAAUAUAAGAGAACAAUUAAUUCUGUUUAAUAGAUGUUUUCAUAUCCUAAAGAGUCAACAUUGUAUAACACUAAAGAUGGAUCCUCCUUAAGUGACAGGACAUAAGUCUAUCAAAUGAAAGUCCCACUUGAGAAAUGUCCUCUUCCAUUCGGACCACAGCAGACACUGUGCCCAGCAUUUGCCAAGAACGCCACUGACUAGAAGCAGGUCUAUUUCUGGACCUGCGUGAGUCCCAAGCCAGGAUGUUGAAUUCUCUGAAGGAAGGAAGGAAGUCUGAUGUAGCUGUGAGGAGGAGCAUUGAACAGCCUUCCAUGGGAAGUAGAGGUGAUCAUCCCUGUAGGAGAAGGUGACUGAGGCGGUGGAAGUAGGAAGAAGAGUCAGGCACGAGUUUCAGCGGUGAGGCAAAGGCAGGCUUCAAUAACAAGACGGCAUGUGAGCAAAUGUUACCCCACAGCUCUCUGGGGCCAGAACAGUCUCAGCUGAGACCUUGAAACAGGAGGGUGCUGCGUGAGGCCAAUGUGACUGGGGCUGUGUAAGGGAGACACUGGAGAUGAGGUCAGACAGGAACAGGUGCAGGGGUGUCAGCACCCUGAGCACAGCAGAUGCUCUGACCUUUACUCUGCGAUCAUUUAAGCAGUCACAACAGGGUUUUAGCAGGGUGACAUGGUCUGAUGUACACUCGAUAAGGCUCCGUCUGGCUGCCGUGCUGCUGUUGAAGGCAGGUAGGCAACAGCACGAUGCACUCGCAGUCCAGUGAGGAGGCCCGUGGUGCAAUCCAGACUAGAAGUUGUAGUGGCUUGUGCCAGCCAUUAGCAGUGGAGGGGCUGAGAGGCAGCCAGGCUCCAAAUGUUAUCUAAAAGGAGAUAAAAGAUUUUCCAACAGUAUAAGUGCAGCGAGAUGGCUUGGAGGGUAAAAGAGCUUGCCACGAAAGCCUGAUGAACUAAGUUCAAUACCAGGAACUCACGUAAAAGGGGAACCAGAGGAUGGAUUGCAUACUUGUGUUCUGAUCCCUGCGAAGUACUGUGGCUUACGCACAACACACACAUACCAUACACAGAAACACACAUCAUACACACACAAUAGUAAACAGCAAUUAAAAAAGAAAGCUCUAAAAAAUGGCAAGAGAACAAAAAGCCUGGCAUAUGAAAGGUGGGGAAGCUAAGACUGACUCUAAAGUUGGCAGCCUGGGCAGCCAAGAGGAUGGAGUGACCCUUGGGCAUAAAAUCAGCUGUUUGACUAUAGGGUUUGUUUGUUUGUUUGUUUAAAUGGCCCAUUUGGCCAAAUGCCCAUUCUGCCACUCCAAUGCAUCUCCGCUUUUCCGCUUUCCAGACGAGCUUGCUCUUCUGUGCUUCCCCUGUCCUCCCUGCCUCCAGUCACCCUUCUCCCCUUCUUCCUCGGCCUAUUUGAAGUUUGUCCAUCGCUUCUGUUCCAACUGCUCCAGAAAGCCCAUCCUGAAUAUAUCCACAGGAAAAUAAUUGUGAUUUUUUUUAUCUUUAAAGAUUUGUCUAUAACAGUUUCUGAUUUGCUUAUUUUCAUAAAGUGAUAUUCAAUGUUGGUUUUGUUUUCUCAGUCAUUCUUUUCAUUAAGGUUCUAUAUUCAACUUUUUAUUCUUGACAGAGAGACAGAGAGGUACAUGUGUGUUAUAUGUUCAUAUGUGUGUGUGUGUGUGUGUGUGUACACCUGUGAUUCUGGGUGUACUUGCAGGUGUGUGUUCGUGUGCAUGAUGGUGUGUAUGUGUGCUACAUGUUCAAGUGUGUGUGUACUUGUACAUGAGAAAUGUGAGUGUGCACACAUGUCAAAGCCAGAAGUUGACAUUAGAUGUCUUCCUCAAUCACUCACCCCUUUACUUUAUUCUGAGACAGGGUCUCUCACUAGAGCAUACUGAUUCAGCCAGGCUGACUGGCCAGCAAAUUCAGCCAUCUUCUGUCUGUCUCUGUCUCCCAGGGCUGAAGUUACAGAUGCACACAGACAUUCUCAGCUUUCACUGGCUGCUAGGGAUCUGAACUCGGAUCCUCACUUUGCAUAGCAAGUACUCUACUGACUACAGCAACCCCCCCCCCCCAACGACAAACUCCUAACUCUUCACCUCUUCCUCUGCACCAGGAACUUCACAGAAGGCUAGCCCUGCCUGAUUAAGACUUUCCCAGGGUCACAUGCCAGGCUCUCCUGUGUUCAAGCCUUGCUUCUCUGACAGUUCCCUUCCUCUGUCACCACUGGAAACUACCUAGAUCAUUAGCAUCCGAGCAUCCUCCUAAACAAUGACAGCAUUUCACAACUGCCAUGGUUGACUGCUUAGGCAAGCAUUUCCUUUGCUCUGUGUUGUGCUGUCCCCUGUGCCUAAGGACUUGUGCAGACAUUUCAAGGCCUGCUGAUGAACACCCAGCUACAAAUCUCUCAACUCCCUGGAUUCAAGAAUGCCAGCUUACCCUUUGCCAUGCCACAACACAAAGGACAUCUGAAAUUGUGUCAUCUCCCUUGCAAGGGCCUGCUGGGGUUAGAUAAUUUUUCUAAGAGAGAAAAAGGUAUUGAACACUGAGAAGGCAACUUAUAAAGGAAGCAUUAAAAUGGGGAGAAGUUUUCAGUUCAGAGGGUGAGUUCAUGACCAUCACAGUAGGAGCAUGGCCGCAAGCAAGCAGACAUGGUGCUAGAGUAGUAGCUGAGAAUUUAUAUCUGUUCCACACUUUUCAGGUAGAGAGAGAGACAGAGAUAGAGACUGGGCUUGGCAUGGACCUUAGAAAUCUCAAUACCUAACCCCAGUGACACUCCCCGGUGACCUCCUCCAACAAGGCCACACCUUCAAACCCUUCCCAAACAGUUCCACAAGCUGGGGAUCAAGCAUUCACACAUGCAAGCCUGUAAGCACCAUUCUCAUUCAAACCACACAGACCCUCAAUUUCCAACCGUGUUUCUCUUCUCUGCUAUGUUAUCUCUCUGUGUCUCUUAGCUGAUCAAAUGGCUCCAUGGAUCUGGCCUCAAACUCUUUUUCUGACUCCAAAUUCUCUUGAUCUUACAGCUAACACAAUGGCUUUUCCUGGGAAAGGUCGGCCCCUCAAAUUCAGAAUGCUCAGAAUUGUUUCAAUAACUUCUCCUUCCAGCUACUGGAUUCUCUUAUUUCUCCUAUUUGGGUUUCUUGAACAAUGUUCAAGCCCAAAGUAGAAACCUGAUGGUUUUCAACUCUUUCUAUUUUCUUAAUCCUAAUAACAAGACUGAAUUUUCUCUUCAGUGUUUGGCCAUUCUCUUUCCACUCACAGAAUAGCUAAUGGGAACCUCCAACAUCCCUUUUUACAGUCUGCCCUGAUGCUGGUACCAUAGAUCCCUCUAAAAUAUAGAUUGAUCAUCCAUGCUUUAAAACUUUGAGUGUAUCCCUGGUACCUCAGAGUAAAGUCUGAAGUUGCAGCAGAGCCCCUAAGGCUUUCCACACAGAUUCUGAAACUACACUAUUCCUAGUCGUCUUUGCAGUCACCUCAAACACCAGGAACGAACCGUCUUUCCUAAAAACCCACUGAACCUGCCAAUUCCAUGUUUUUGCUGUGCUGAUCUGUCUGUGUGCAAUAACGUGUCCAUUUCUUUCUGAUACAUGGUUACUCAUAAUACAAAUCAAUCACAAUGUAAACACAACCAUAUGGUACAUUAAGCUUCCCUAAACUAUAUAUUCUAGAACAGCAUAGUGAUGAAGCUAGUUAUGUCAGUGUAGACUUCAUAAUUGCACAAGUGGUGAGCACCACGAGGCCCAGUAUCUUACCUGGUAAAAGCUUCUGCAGGCCUCUGAAGAAGUCAAUAUCUUUCUAAGGCAGAUUUGACUAUCUACUCGUCUGUACUGCCCUAGGCAGAGUUCACUACCCUCUCAUCUAUGUGUCCUUCAAGUAGAGUUAAUUACUUUUUGCUUCCUUCCCUUCCUCGUGUCUUUUUCUAAUUUUUUAUUUGUUUUAUUUUUUAUUUUUUGGUGCUGGGGAUAGAAACUAGGGUUUUGCUUAUGUCAGGCAAAUGUGCUACCACUGAGCUGUAGGGACCCCCAAGUACAGGGGUCAUGUAGUGAGAGCACAUGAGUGUCAGUAACCCAUAAGGUGGUCCUGGUGUUGGCCUUACUUUUGAGAGAGGGCCUGAGCAUCAGUAAGUAGUAAGAUAGUCCUGAUGUUGGCCUUACUCAUGAGAUCCUUGAACUCCAGAUGGAUAUUUUGGGCAACAUUUCUGAACAAACAGGCAAACCGGUCACCUAAUAGGAUAUGCAAGAAUCACUCAGAAAUGUAAAAUUGAAUUUGCUCUGUAAAAAGUAGCUUAAAGGUUCCCACCUUUAACCAUUGUGCCGUACUGUCUGAACCAUGAAGACCCAGGGAAGAACUUUGACUUCGUCAGGACAGAUUUUCAAGAUGAGACUAGAUAAAGCUAAGGUGACAGAGGGAUAGAUGAUAAAAGUGGGAACUCAGAGGACAGAAGUGAAGCCAGCAGCUGCACCAGAACCUAUGUUCUCACACUGGUGUGUCUAAUCCAGAGCCUCUUCUGGGAAACCCUCGGUGAGUUUUGUUUUAAGUAGUUUAUAGACGCAACUACCAGAUUUCAAAGCUAAAGUGAUAUAAAUAACUUGGGGUGGGUUGACCGAAAACCCAUGAGAACUCCCACAGCAACUGUGUGGGCGAAGGCGUCUCUUCACAGCAGAACGGAAAUCACUUAGUGGAACAGAAGUGCAGGAUCAACCUAACCACAGUCCUGAGAGGGUAAGAGACCCAGAGGAGCAGAGAACUGGUGGUGACAACUGGUAACGCCACACACACACACACACACACACACACACACACACACACACACACACGCACACACACACAAUCUGGAUCCGCUCAUUGUCAAUACUAAAGUGAAGUUGUUGACUAAAGGGAUCCUAAGCACACCGUUCUUUGAAUAAGACAUAUAAAAGGUAGGAAGGAAUCUCUAGGAGCAUAAGAUAUUUUGAAAUAACAACAUCAAAAAAUGCGCUCUAACCACCAAUGGUCUACCUGCAAAUGGUAAAUAUUUUUAUAUUGUCUCUAUACUGAAGAUCUAAGAUAAGACCUAUCCUAUGUUAAGUACAUGGUCUACUAUUGAGCUAUACUUUCAGAUACAUAUAUCUACAUAUUAUACAUACAUAGUAUAUGCAUAAAUCAUUAUAUAUACAUUAAACGUGUGCAUGCAUGUGUGUAUGUGCAGAUGAGUGCAUAUGCCCAAAGAGGUCAGAAGAGGGUGUGAGAUCCCCUGGAGCUGGAGUCACAGCUGGUUGUGAGACACUCUAUGUGGGCGCUGGGAACUCAACUCAGGUCCUCUCGUGAGAACAGUACUCAGUCUUAACUGAGUCAUGUCUGAAGUCCCAUCAUAUUUUUUUCUUGAGGCACAGUGUUAUGUAACCUAGGCUGACCUUAAACUCACAAGAUACAGGCCUCAGCCUUCCAAGUUGCUAGGAUUACAAAAAGUUACACACACACAGUCACACACAGAAAAAGAGAGAGAGACAGACAGACAGACAGACACACAUAUAAAUCAUGAAAGACAAGCUACAGCUACCAUAUUACCAAGUGUUAAGUGAUGGCAUUUGUAGAAAAUUUCUUAUUUCAAAGCACCUAAAAUAUAAUAUCCCCCUGCUUUUGUAAAUCUCCGGCACUAUUCUUGGUUUCCCUAAAAAGCAAAGAGCUCCUAGGAGGAGAAAUAGAGAUUGUAGAACUUGGGUUUUCUCUCUCAGGACAGAGCGAGGGGACGAAGCCCAGGCCCUUGGGUGUGCUAAGCGGCCAUUCCACAACCGAGUGGCACUCUGAGCUCUAGAAGACAGGUUUCAGCCUGGAAGUGAGGAGCAGAGUCACAGGCACAUACUGGUGAUCAAUAACUAUCCCUUGACUACCUCCACACAGAACUUCAUUCAAGGCUGGGGUGAAACAUAACCACACUGUUUGCCAGGUGAGACAAAGGUCUCCCACCUCACUUAGCAGCAAAAGCACUGUGCUUCAGUGUCUAGUCACUGAGACCCAGAGAACUCUUCCCUAGCCAGGUUCAGUCACACAUACCCACAGCUCCAGGUACUCAGAAGACUGACCCAGGCAGACAGAUGGUUUGAGCACAGGAAGCUCAAAAUUAGUUUGGGCAAUACCUUGACGUUUCAUCUCAAACAACAUAAAACAAAAAUGAAAACCAGGAAAACAGCCCAACUGAGAGUAGAGAGGGCCAGAAGCAACCAUAACCCAAAGGUUGCCUCCAACCUCCUCUGCAAGUUCAUGAAUCCCAAUAUAUCUGCUCGCUGCUCCAACAACUUAGAACAUGACACAAACACAUAUGUUUUGAGGUUUUUUUUUAAGAUUUGUUUAUUUUAUGUAUAUGAGUAUACUGUAGCUGUCUUCAGACACACCAGAAGAGGGUGUCAGAUCUCAUUACAUGUGGUUGUGGGGAUUUGAACUCAGGACCUCUGGAAGAGCAGUCAGUGCUCUCAACCGCUGAGCCAUCUCUCCAGCCCAUGUUCUGAGCUUUAACAAUACUUUAACAUACAGUCUUGUACUAUUCAUCAGGCUAGCCUUGAACUCACAGUAAUCACCCUAGAGCUUUGAUAAGGUAUGAGCCAGCACACAGACACAUAAACUUUUAAUUAAUUCUUUGAAAAUUUCAUACAAUGUAUUUGAAUCAUAAUUACCCCCACAACUCCUCUUAGAUCCACCCCUGACCCUACCCACCCAACUAUAUAUCUUCUUCCUUUUUUAAACAAACAACUCCAAUUUAUGCAACCCACAUACUCUAGGGGUGCACUCGUCCACUGGAGCAUGACCUACCAAGGGCCUCACCUUUAAAAAACAAUCUCUCUCUCUCUCUGUCUCUCUCUAUCUCUCUGUCUCUGUCUCUGUCUCUCUCUGUCUCUCUCUCUCUGUCUCUCUCUCUCUCUCUCUCUCUCUCUCUCUCUCUCUCUCCUCUUUUCUAGCAGCCUCCAACUGCCAGUAGCUCCUCAAGUAGGGGUGGGACCUGUGCCCAUCUCACCUCUCUAUAUUGGAAGUUUGUCUGGCUUGAGUUUGGCCAGCCUGGUGCACACUGUCACAACACUGGGAGAAGGCGUGUUCAAUUGCCCUGCUGUGUCUGCAAAACAGUGUCUCAGCUUCUUCAGUCUCUCCACCCACCAUGCCACAAUGAUCCCUAAGCCUUGGGAGGUUCAAGUGUGAGAUGCAUAAUUUUUUAAAAGAAAGAUUUUUAUAUCGUUAUAUCAUGUAUUUCCCUCAAAAAGUACAGUCUCUCGUUCUGCCUUAAAAUGGGAAUGUUGACAUGUGUUGCAGCAUAGAUGAUCCGAAUGCUAACUUAACCAGUUCCAAAGAACAAACAUUACGUGAUGCCAUUUAUGGAAGGAACUUAGUUAAUUCACAGAUAGAGAAAGUAGAAAGGUCAUUACCAGCAGCUGCAGAGAGCUAAUGGCUAGCUUCUCUUAAUUUUAAUGUUUGUAUUUUAUGUUAUUAUUUUGUGUGUGUGAGGGUUUUGCUUACAUGUAUGUAUGAGUAUUACGUGUGUGUCGGGUGCCCACAGAGGUCAGAAGAGGGCACUGGAUCUAAUGGAACUGGAGUUAAGACUGUUACGGUAGCUGUGAACUACCAUGUGGGUAGUAGGAACUUGAAUCCCUGUCCUUUGGAAGAGCAGCAACUGCUAUUUAGUGCUAAGCCACCAUUCCAGGCCCUGCGAGCUAUUUUUAUUUUUGUUUUUUUUUGUUUUUUUUUUUUUUUUGGUUCUUUUUUUCGGAGCUGGGGACCGAACCCAGGGCCUUGUGCUUGCUAGGCAAGCGCUCUACCACUGAGCUAAAUCCCCAACCCCUGCGAGCUAUUUUUAAUGAGCACAAAAGUUUCAGCUGGAGAAGAUGAAAAUGUUCCUGAAGAUUGGAUGGUGCCAAUGUUUGCAAAACUAUGACUAUACCUGAUGCCACGGAGCUGCACCCGAUAGGAUGGUCAUUGUGCAUCUUUCACCAGCAGUGAAAGUUUAAAAAAGUGUCAAGUCUCGGCCGAUGACAGUUCUCAUACUGGCGCAACGUACUUGUUUUAACAUGACGGUCAUCUAUGCCUUGUUUUGCGAACGGGGCACGACUCACGCCAUUGCAUUGGCUCUUAGUAACUAUCUUUUAAAUAGCAGCUGGCAGCUUGACAGUGACUUUCUCAUGUUCUACUGUCAGUGCACAAGCUACCAGCUGCAGGUAGAGAGGGACCCUUUAUUUUUAUGAUUAGUCUUGAACGUGAAUUAAGUUCUUGAUAAAAUAGCUUCUUGGAAGACUCCGUUUUAGUGUUGCUUUCCCCCCUCCUGCUCUCCUCCCCUUCCUCAUAAACAGGACAUGGAAGGUUUUCAGUCCCACCCACCCUUUCUUUCAAGUCCUAGCUUCAAAGUUGAGUAGAAGGCUCAGGCACCUUGUGACCACCAAAGCACGCAUUCCUGACGAGGAACGUUUCUCUUCCCGUUCUAACCUAGGCAAUGUUCUAUCAAACAGAACAUUGUAUCCUGCCUCAAAAUCAGGUCUAUGGUACAAACUGGACAUUUCCUUUCGUUCUUUCCCCUUGUAUGGUUGCUUCUCGGGGGAGGGUGGGCGAGUGACGAGGACGCUUCUGAAGCCCGAGUUCCUCUUUCGGCCUUUGUGGCUUUUACUUCCACUGUCAUCAGAAAUCCCCAAGUGCUGCUAAUGCUUUCUCCUCUUCCUCUCCUCGGCCUGCUUUUGUUUUUCCUCAACACUGCUGGGUUCUUCCCCAUCUCCUGCUCAGGCUGCUUUCUCUGUGAGUCUUGUUUCCCACAGGGUGCUGACAGGCAGUCUCUGUACCAUACAACUCUACUCUCUACUCACCACCCUGGGUCGGUAGCGCCAAUGCAACUGCACAGUGCAGACCUUGAGCAAGGGGUCAGGUCUACCCUCUAGCUGGUGCUGCCUGUUCACUGCCACCUCUAGCUUCUCAAGGAAAAGUUCAUGGGAACAACUUUAGCUCCCACUGAGGCUCUGAGCCACAGCCCAUGCAUUGAGUAAGUUGCCUCUGAAGACUAAACUUUCCGUGGGGCCUUUACAACUGCAAUCAUGUAGGGCAUGGUGGUGCAGACUUGUAAUCUCUGUCCCCCGGAGCUGGAAGGAGGCAGGAUUGCUGUAGGUUCCAGGCCAGCCUGUGCUACGGAGCAAGUAUCCAGCUGGAGAUACAUAAUAAGAACCCACCUCCAAAAACCAAAGAAACAAAACAAGCUAGAGAAUCGGUUCACCCUUUCAGAGAGGCUCUGCUCUUGCAGAUCAGAGUUCGGUUCCCAGUACCUAAUGCUGGACGGCUCACAACCAGCAGCAGCUUCAACUCCAGGACAUCUAAUGUCCUCUUCCAGCAUGCCAGGGCUCCUUGUGUUCACAUAUUUCCCACCCCCAUACACAUAAUUAAAAAGAAAUAAUGUUAAAAGUAAUCCACUAUCAUCAACAAAUUCAGGCAAUGAGCUAGGAGUGGAGGCCUUGCCUACCACGAACCAGGCCCUGGGUUCCAUGCUUAGCACCAGAAACAUCUAAAUAAAUAAAUAAAUAAAUAAAUAAAUAAAUAAAUAAAUAAGCAGAUCCGAUCUUCCACCAGCUUCUCAUGCUACCUCGAGUGACUGUUGAGGUGACUCUGCCCUUUGUACUUAGAAUCAUUUCUUCAGCUUUUCACUCUGGAGCUCUGGUGUGACAAAACCUCACUCACAGUGUACACAGUGGCUUAGUCAAGAAAAAUGGAACUUUAUUUCUACCUUUCAUACAGAAACAAUAUCCUUGCCAUCAGUCAAAGAACAUAAGCUUGUUCGAUGGUCUCCCUCUUCAUUUUUCCCACAGUAUGGUACAGCUCUGGGGACUUACCCGAUGACAUCAAGGAACGUGGUGUGGUGUAUAAUCCUCUGUCUAAUCACAGAGUCACUUGCUAGGAAGAUGUCCACACAGGUUUAGCAGCUCUUGGAUGCUUUGGGGUCAAUUCUGGGUCAUGGGAAUCCCUGCCAUCAACACUCUCUACAGUACCCGUCCUGGCACUCUGGCCUUGUAGCACUUGUCUGGGAAUAGGGAAGUAACUUGCCUUUUGACAAGCAGUGCACGGCAGUUUAUCUUAAACUCUUAGUAUCCCGUUUUCCUCUUUCCUCAUCUAGCCUCGGGGUUUCAAACAGCAAGGGAGUCAUCUUUCUGGUCAGGGACUAGUGCUUUGACUAGUAUAAUCUUGUCAACUUGACCCUCCUGGAAAGAAGGAACAACUUCUUCCUUCUGUCUGGAAGCACUGCUUCCACCAGACUGGCCUAUGGUCACGUCUCUGCAAUAUUGUCUUGAUUUAUGAUUGAUGUGGGAGGGUUCAACCCCCUAUGGGCGGUUCCAUCCCUAGGCAGGUGCUGCUGGGUUGUAUAAGAAAGCAGGCUGAGCAUGCGCAGGAGGAGAAAGUGACCAAGCAGCCUUCCUCCUUUGGUGGUUUCUACCUCAGUUCCUGCCUUGACUUCCCUUGAGAGACUUUAUAUUUUCUUUUUCAGCCAUGGCAUUUGUCACAAUAGAGAAAACUAUGCUGACUGAGCCCUCUCCUUGUCUCUGUUUUUAAGAUUCAUUUUUAAAAUUGUAUGUGUAUAGAUGUUGUCCUACAUAUCUACAUGUAUGCCAUAUGCAUGCAGUGCCCAGAGAGUGCAAAAGAGAGCACUGGAUCCUCAGGAGCAGGAGGUACAGAUGGUUUCAGUUGCCAUUUAGGUGCUGGGAACCAAACCUGUGCUCUUACUGACUGAGUCCUUUCCUCAGCCCCUCCCCAUUGUUUUCAAGCCCCGCAGCUGCCUCUAAUGGACAUCGACUGCCCUCUCUAAAGCUGACUGGAGAACAAGUCCAGACAUCUCUGCUUUCCUCAACACUGGGUAUAGGGCCACACUUGAACACUGAGAGAGGGGAUCAACUGCAGGCCAUGCAGUCAAUGGGAGUUUUUGAACACAAGGGUGAAUGUGAUAUUACAAGUGACCUUGAGGCAUCUGACUAAGGAAAAAUCCCCCUUCUGACCAACAUAAUUACCCAGUCUUUAUAGAAAUCUGUACAUAUAAGCCGCUGUAUUUCUCUAGGACUAGGUAAAGAGUUACAACAACUGCUUUCUAGAAAAAAAUUAGCAUUUAACUUUACAGAUUAUAAUUCUCCAACUGAAAGCAAAUAAGUAAGCAAGGGAGGGAGGGAGAGGGGGGAGAGAAAAGAAAAAAACAAGAAAAAAGAAAAAGAAUCCUCACAUGCAUUGAAUCUUCAACAAGGCUUGAGUCUAGGGCUUGCUUUCCAAUUUUUAUGACCAAGAAAGUGAAGCAGAAGUAAUUACCAACAUUAGCAAGAAACACAAAACUUAGUUUUAGUUUGGGUUUAGUUUGGUCUGGAUUUUGUUGAGUGGGUCUACAAUCACCUGUUUCCGUUCUAUUACUGCCAACUCUGUCUUUCUAGCCAACUUUUAAUGAUGCCCAGGACUAUGGCUCUGACAGCCCUUGGCUUCUCAUUCACCAGUUGACUCCCAGCUCUCCUCACAAGCUGUUUCUCCAGCUGCUCUGAAAAGAAAUUUGCUUUGGAAAUAGAUAUGAAUGUAUAUUUGUAUGUGAACUUAGCUCGUAUAAGCUUCACAUGCACUGUUUGGACCCAUCACAGAACCAAAAGUGGUAGCUUUUUUUUUUUUUUUAAUAAGAAGGAUUUAAAAAUAGUAGCAACAACUGACAUUUACUUAGUGAUGAGUACUAUGCCAAGGACUUCUUCAAGAGGAACUCCCUGGUAGAUCUUUGGAAAUGUGCAAAAGAUACCUGUUGUAGGUUGGGAGAACACCUCUCAUUUUGCAUGUGUUAUGUGAGUACAUCAGUACCUGGCUUAACUUUCAGUGCUGCCUGCUGAGAAGCGGACUCAAAUAAACAAACCAACCAAAGAGAGGCCCACCAACUGGACCAAUGGAAAAGAGAGGAGUUGUGAGUUCUCUCUCUGUCUCUGUCUCUCUGUCUCUCUCUGUCUCUGUCUCUCUGUCUCUCUCUCUGUCUGUCUCUGUCUCUCUCUGUCUCUGUCUCUCUGUCUCUCUGUCUCUCUCUGUCUCUCUCUCUCUCUGACUCUGUUUCUCUGUCUCUCUCUGUCUCUCUGUCUGUCUCUCUGUGUCUCUGUCUCUGUCUGUCUCUGUCUCUGUCUCUCUGUCUCUCUCUGUCUGUCUCUCUGUCUGUCUCUCUGUGUCUCUGUCUCUGUCUGUCUCUGUCUCUGUCUCUCUCUCUCUCUCUCUGUGUGUGUGUGUGUAUCACAAUCAAAUUUUGCAGGUGAUAAAAAUUGUCCUGUAACCAUUAUAGUCUCUUUCUGUCUCUUUCUGUCUGGGAGAGAGAAAGUGGGACCUUGGAAAUGUUGGCUUUCAGCAGAAAUUCUCAGGGAAAAGAGAAAGGAGAAAAGUCAGUAGAGGAACACUUUUCUAGUAGACACAAGGCUCUGCACUCAACCUCCAGCAUCACCAAGGACAGACAGACAAAUAAAACAAAAGCCUUGCACACUAAAGAAAAUGCCCUCACAAAACAAUCGUAAAACAGAGACAAGUGACUUUUACAUUUUUUCUUAUUAUUUUCCUUCCAAAACUUAAAUGACACUUUUAUUCAACUGUACUAAAGUUAACACCAUCGUCAAAAUUACUCCAAGCCAGAACUGCAUGAUCUGCAAUCAUCACCUACCUGACCCCCAUCGCAGUAAGUCUUUGCCAUGAUAGGAAAUGUCCCGUCUUUCUGCACCUCCUCCCUGCCCUGCUCUAAGCUCUCAUCACUUCUUACCCAGAUUAUUACAGUCCAUGCAACUGCCGUCCUCUGUCCUCUCCCGUCCCUGUCCCCAGCAACUCCACCCCCGAGGCUUCCUAUAACGUUUAUCUUCAAUAUCCCUCGAAGGUCACUUUAUUAAAGGGCCGGUACCAAGGUAGACAUUAUUGGUAAGCAGUUGGCACCUCUGUAGUCAUCAAAAGUGUACUCUUGUAGGGGGCUGCGGGACUCUGGGCCCACCCUUGUCCUCUCACUCAGUUCUGGCAGUGGGGUAAGUGACAUUGCUCUGUCAUGUGAUCCUACCGUGAUGUGUUGCCCUCCCACAGGAACAAAGUUAAUAGGUCAAUCCUUCGCAGACCUCUCCCUGUCCUCCCCUUCCCCCCAUGCCCCAUUCUAUUCCCCAAAGACAGGUUUCAUAUAGCUGGCCUGAUCUCCCCAAAGUAGCUAUGCUGCUGAAGAUGACCUUGAUCUUUUGGUCUUCCUGUGCCCAUGACCCUGGAGCUGAUAUUUCAGGCUUAUACCAUCAUGCCCAGCUUUUUUUUUUUCUUUUUGUAAUAGGAACUGAACAUAGGUCUUCAUAUAUGCAAAGAAGCCAAGCACUUUACCAAUCAAAUCCCCAGUCCCAAACCAUGGACUUUGUCUUAUAUCCAAUGACCCAAACCUAUUAAAGUUCCCACCCGUUUUAAGAUCCACCACUCUAGUCCUCCCUUGGGCAUGGGGCUCUGACUUUUUCUGCCACAGCCAGUUUUGUUUUUUUUCCCAUGAGAGUCUUCUCACAUGCUCAUCCCAUGUCUUUGUUAGGUUUCUAGCUAAAUGCCCCCAACUGCCACUCCAAGCCACAGUCCUCAGAUAAACCUUUCUAGUUCCCUGCAUUUGGUGCCAUGGCACCUGUUACAAUCACUUCUUAGGGUAUUUGUUCAAUGUCCUCCAGAGUAAACCAUGCUCUUUUUUUUUUUUUUUUUUUUUUUUGGUUCUUUUUUUCGGAGCUGGGGACCGAACCCAGGGCCUUGCGCUUCCUAGGCAAGCGCUCUACCACUGAGCUAAAUCCCCAACCCC
Rattus norvegicus (Norway rat) is the source of this 27914-nucleotide non-coding RNA. The record is from RefSeq and is a predicted model, not a curated record. NCBI's taxonomy places the organism in Eukaryota, Metazoa, Chordata, Mammalia, Rodentia, Muridae.